RNAcentral lists this long non-coding RNA (227 nucleotides) under Lathyrus oleraceus (garden pea). Its description in RNAcentral is "Pisum sativum (pea) long non-coding RNA (PSAT_LNC009366)". The record is from RNAcentral. Lineage: Eukaryota; Viridiplantae; Streptophyta; Magnoliopsida; Fabales; Fabaceae.
AAAACGCGUGGGCUUCGCCUAGCGAGCAUGACAGUUCAUGAACAAACUUUUGCUCCUUCAAGAUUAACAUUUUGACUGAUGAAUAUACCCCAUUUGAACAUGUUAGAAGUAUCUCAAGCCAUUCCCUUGUGUUGACUGAUCACCCAGAUAGGACCCACAAAGUGUCUUGGAUGAUAUUCAAGCUUCUUGGAUCUAAUUCCGAUUGACAUGAUGAAAUGCAAUAUGAA